This is a small nuclear RNA of Mustela erminea (ermine), 147 nucleotides long. RefSeq annotates it as U4 spliceosomal RNA. The record is from RefSeq and is a predicted model, not a curated record. Lineage: Eukaryota; Metazoa; Chordata; Mammalia; Carnivora; Mustelidae. The transcript has a single exon.
AGCUUUGCACAGUGGCAGUAUCAUAGCCAAUGAGGUUUAUCCGAGGCGCGAUUAUUGCUAAUAGAAAAUUCAUAUUUCCAGUGGCCCUUUUAACUGGUAUUGUGGAGCUGGGAGAAAAAUCAAGAAAAUAAUGGUCAUUUACCUAAA